RNAcentral lists this non-coding RNA (24 nucleotides) under Arabidopsis thaliana (thale cress). The record is from RNAcentral. Lineage: Eukaryota; Viridiplantae; Streptophyta; Magnoliopsida; Brassicales; Brassicaceae.
UCAAAAUGUUAGUGAAAUCUUUCU